Molecule: ribosomal RNA, 418 nt
Filed under: uncultured bacterium
Lineage: Bacteria
Description: bacterial SSU rRNA
Rfam family: Bacterial small subunit ribosomal RNA
Source: RNAcentral
AUUGAACGCUGGCGGCAUGCCUUACACAUGCAAGUCGAACGGCAGCACGGGAGCUUGCUCCUGGUGGCGAGUGGCGAACGGGUGAGUAAUACAUCGGAACGUACCCUGAAGUGGGGGAUAACGUAGCGAAAGUUACGCUAAUACCGCAUAUUCUGUGAGCAGGAAAGAGGGGGAUCGCAAGACCUCUUGCUUUAGGAGCGGCCGAUGUCGGAUUAGCUAGUUGGUGAGGUAAAGGCUCACCAAGGCGACGAUCCGUAGCGGGUCUGAGAGGAUGAUCCGCCACACUGGGACUGAGACACGGCCCAGACUCCUACGGGAGGCAGCAGUGGGGAAUUUUGGACAAUGGGCGCAAGCCUGAUCCAGCCAUGCCGCGUGAGUGAAGAAGGCCUCGGGUUGUAAGACGUCUUCGUGGGAGAAU